GUGCAAUAAUGGUGUCCUGUCAACACAUCAUAGCACA
RNAcentral lists this small nucleolar RNA (37 nucleotides) under Fusarium venenatum. Lineage: Eukaryota; Fungi; Ascomycota; Sordariomycetes; Hypocreales; Nectriaceae. The record is from RNAcentral.